Molecule: ribosomal RNA, 460 nt
Filed under: uncultured bacterium
Lineage: Bacteria
Description: partial 16S ribosomal RNA
Rfam family: Bacterial small subunit ribosomal RNA
Source: RNAcentral
CCUACGGGUGGCAGCAGUGAGGAAUAUUGGUCAAUGGACGCAAGUCUGAACCAGCCAUGCCGCGUGCAGGAAGACGGCUCUAUGAGUUGUAAACUGCUUUUGUACGAGGGAAAAGGCAGAUACGUGUAUCUGUCUGAAAGUACCUUACGAACAAGGAUCGGCUAACUCCGUGCCAGCAGCCGCGGUAAUACGGAGGAUUCGAGCGUUAUCCGGAUUUAUUGGGUUUAAAGGGUGCGUAGGCGGUCGGUUAAGUCAGAGGUGAAAUCCCGGGGCUCAACGUCGGAAUUGCCUUUGAUACUGAUCGGCUAGAGAGUGGGUGCGGUAGGCGGAAUGUAUGGUGUAGCGGUGAAAUGCUUAGAGAUCAUGCAGAACACCGAUGGCGAAGGCAGCUUACCGGGCUACUUCUGACGUUGAGGCACGAAAGCGUGGGGAGCAAACAGGAUUAGAUACCCGGGUAGUC